Non-coding RNA from Leptonychotes weddellii (Weddell seal), 2533 nucleotides. The record is from RefSeq and is a predicted model, not a curated record. Lineage: Eukaryota; Metazoa; Chordata; Mammalia; Carnivora; Phocidae.
GCUUUCGGGACGGUGGCGGGAAGAUGGCGGCAUCCAGGGAUUGGCUGGGAACAGUGGAAGCAGAGGGAAGCGCGGGGCGCCAGGCGAGUUCAGGAGUGGAGGUGGUAUUUCCUUCCGAUCCCGCCACCCCCGCCCCGCUGUGUCCUCACGGACCUACUCUUCUGUUUGUAAAGGUGAACCAAGGGAAAGAAGAAACACGGAGAUUUUAUGCCUGCUCAGCCUGUAGAGAUAGAAAAGACUGUAAUUUUUUUCAGUGGGAAGAUGAAAAGUUGUCAGGAGCUAGACUUGCUGCCCGAGAAGCUCAUAACCGAAAAUGUCAGCCUCCUCUGUCCCGAACGCAGUGUGUGGAAAGGUACUUGAAGUUUAUUGAGUUGUCCCUGUCUCAGAGAAAGUUUUGUCAACGAUGUCAGCAAUUGCUGUUGCCAGACGAUUGGGAGAAGCAUCAGGAGCAUCGAGUAGUAGGCGAUAUUUCUAUCACCCAGUUGAAAAGGCCCAGUCAGCUUCUUUAUCCAUUGGAAAACAAGAAGACAAAUGCCCAGUAUUUGUUUGCUGAUCGGAGCUGUCAGUUCUUGAUAGACCUACUUUCUACCCUUGGAUUCACAAGAGCACUAUGUGUUGGAACACCAAGGUUGCAUGAGCUGAUCAGAUUGAAAGCAUCAGGUGAAAAGAAGUCUAACAUUAAAAGCCUUUUAUUGGAUAUUGAUUUUAGGUAUUCACAGUUUUAUAUGGAAGAUAGCUUUUGCCAUUAUAACAUGUUUAACCAUCACUUCUUUGAUGGAAAGGCUGCCCUUGAAGUAUGCAGAACAUUUUUACAGGAAGAUAAAGGUGAGGGAGUCAUUAUGGUGACAGAUCCUCCUUUUGGUGGCUUGGUUGAACCUCUGGCUGUUACAUUCAAGAAGUUAAUUGGUAUGUGGAAAGAAGGUCAAAGCCAAGAUAGCAGUCACAAAGAACUACCCAUAUUCUGGAUUUUCCCUUAUUUUUUUGAAUCCCGAAUUUGUCAGUUUUUUCCAAGCUUCUGCAUGCUGGAUUACCAGGUAGAUUAUGAUAAUCAUGCACUUUAUAAACAUGGGAAGACAGGUCGAAAACAGUCUCCUGUGCGUAUUUUCACCAAUAUUCCACCCAACAAAAUAAUCCUUCCUAGUGAAGAAGGGUACAGAUUUUGCCCUCUGUGUCAACGAUAUGUUUCCCUAGAGAAUCAACACUGUGAGCACUGUAAUUCUUGUACCUCCAAGGAUGGCAGGAAAUGGAACCAUUGCUUUCUCUGCAAAAAGUGUGUAAAACCUUCCUGGAUCCACUGUAGCGUUUGUAGUCACUGUGCUCUUCCAGAUCAUUCUUGCGGGGGCCCUAAAGAUGGCUGCUUUAUUUGUGGUGAAUUAGACCACAAACGCAGUACUUGUCCUAAGAUCGCUACAUCUAAGAAAGUGAACAACACCUUGUUUUUCAGAGCUGUCAGAAAGCAGAAGCAAAGAAAAAGUAGUAAGAUGAAAAUGGGGACCACUAAAGGACAAUCCAUGAAUCAUACAUCUGUUACAAGGAAGAAGAACAGGAGAGAAAGAGCCCAUCAAUAUCUUUGCUCUUAAAUGUCCAGUGACUUGAGAAUAAGAAAGAUUUAUAGUCCAACCUUUGAUGCCAUUUUCUGCAAGUGCCACACUGGACUUAAAUUCUGUCGCUUUCAAAGAUUAGAAGCUCAUUGGUAGCAGGGGCCUGCAGGCACCGUGGUGUGUGUUCUCUAGCUCCUAGAGCUGUGCGUUGCACACAGUGAUGUCCGAGACAACCAACUGCUGCCCACGUGACUUCACCAAUCCCCCCCCACCUCCGCCAUGACCCCGGGAAGCGGGUGGCCAGGUUGACACAUUUCCCCACCCACCAAGUGGUAGCUGCUCGUAAAUCGGGACUGAGUGAAUAGAAAUGCCAUGUCAUAUACUGCUUGAGGUCUCAAAACCUUAACUGUGCCACAUGAGGACGAAGCUAAUAUGCUUAGAGCUGCCUAGGUAAGGAAAGCUUGCACAGACUGCAAAGGAAAAUCCAAUUUCACUUAAUUUGAUGUGAUUUUAAUUGGAACAUUAGGAUAGGGGUCAAAUUAGUCAAGGGUCAGCCAAGAAGGUCAUUGCAAUCAAGUGCAGAUAAGAUCUUGACAGUUGGAUUUCAGGCGAUUUAGUAUAAAUGUUAGCAAGACUGAGGGAAAGAAGCACCCAACAGCAAGCAGAUCUCAUAGCUCUGAGGGAUGAGUUUUAUCCCAUUAGCUGGACAGUCACAAGAUUCUCACACUAUUUAGUUGCUUCGUACUACUGCAGAUGAGAAGUUUAUUAGCUGCUGGUCUCUAAGAAACUGAGCCUGAGGAGAUGGGCCAGUUUCUUCACCUGUGAAUGUAGGGGCCAGGAGUAGGAGAAACCAGAGAAAUCAGACUUAAAUCAAUCUCUUAUGGUUGGACAUCUAAGUUGUUUGUAUUUUUUCACUCUUGUAAACAACCUAUGCUAAACAUUCUUAUGACUAAAUCUUUUGUUUCCUUAGAAUAAAUUUCUAGACAUAUGAA